RNAcentral lists this ribosomal RNA (1491 nucleotides) under feces metagenome. RNAcentral describes it as "bacterial LSU rRNA". It matches the Rfam family "Bacterial large subunit ribosomal RNA", at positions 488 to 1983 of the family's 2925-position model. The record is from RNAcentral.
UAGUGAACCAGUACCGUGAGGGAAAGGUGAAAAGAACCCCGAACAGGGGAGUGAAAUAGAACCUGAAACCGUAUACUUACAAGCGGUCGGAGCGUCCAGGUGGCGUGACGGCGUGCCUUUUGCAUAAUGAGCCUACGAGUUACUCUUCUCUGGCAAGGUUAAGUGUUUAAGACACGCAGCCGAAGCGAAAGCGAGUCUGAAUAGGGCGUAUAGUCAGGGGAGGUAGACGCGAAACCUUGUGAUCUACCCAUGGACAGGUUGAAGGUGCGGUAACACGUACUGGAGGACCGAACCGAUAAACGUUGAAAAGUUUCCGGAUGAUCUGUGGGUAGGGGUGAAAGGCUAAUCAAACUGGGAAAUAGCUCGUACUCCCCGAAAUGUUUUUAGGAACAGCGUCGUGGUGAGUUAUAUAGAGGUAGAGCUACUGAUUGGGUGCGGGGGAGUCAAAUCCUACCAAAUCCAGACAAACUCCGAAUGCUAUAUAAUAUACACGGCAGUGAGGCGCGGGGUGCUAAGGUCACGCGCCGAGAGGGAAAGAACCCAGACCAUCAGCUAAGGUCCCUAAAUUACCGCUAAGUUGAACUAACGAGGUGCGAUUGCAUAGACAGCUAGGAUGUUGGCUUGGAAGCAGCCAUUCAUUUAAAGAGUGCGUAACAGCUCACUAGUCGAGCGAUCGUGCAUGGAUAAUAAACGGGCAUUAAGUGGUAUACCGAAGCUAUGGGUAAUAUUAAUAUUACGGUAGGGGAGCAUUCCAGCGGCAGCGAAGUUGUAGCGUGAGCUAUGGUGGAGCUUCUGGAAAAGCAAAUGUAGGCAUAAGUAACGAUAAGGCGGGAGAGAAACCCGCCCACCGAAAGGAUAAGGUUUCCUGAUCAACGCUAAUCGGAUCAGGGUUAGUCGGGGCCUAAGGAGAACCCGAAGGGGAUAUUCGAUGGACAACGGUUUAAUAUUACCGUACUUUUUAUAACUGCGAUGUGGGGACGGAGUAGUGACACUGCCGCGAUCUGACGGAAUAGAUCGUUGAAGGCUGUAGGUAUAGGACUGGUAGGCAAAUCCGCCAGACCUGCUGAACGCUGAUAGUACCGCGAGCCUUCGGGUAAGUGGAUAGUGCAGGUAAUCAGACUUCCAAGAAAAACCGCUAAGCUCCAGGUUAUAAAAACCCGUACCGCAAACCGACACAGGUAUCCGGGAAGAGAAUUCUAAGGUGCUCGAGUGAAUCAUGGCUAAGGAACUCGGCAAAAUGGCCCUGUAACUUCGGGAGAAGGGGCGCUGACAGCAAUGUCAGCCGCAGUGAAAAGGCCCAGGCGACUGUUUAACAAAAACACAUGGCUUUGCAAAAUCGAAAGAUGAAGUAUAAGGCCUGACACCUGCCCGGUGCUGGAAGGUUAAGAGGGGAUGUUAGUCGCAAGGCGAAGCAUUGAAUCGAAGCCCCAGUAAACGGCGGCCGUAACUAUAACGGUCCUAAGGUAGCGAAAUUCCUUGUCGGGUAAGUUC